CGCUAAGGGAUGGGGAUGCGUCCGAUUAGGCUAGCAGGCGGGGUGACGGCCCACCUGGCCUUCGAUCGGUAGGGGUUCUGAGAGGAAGGUCCCCCCACAUUGGUACUGAGACACGGACCAAACUCCUACGGGAGGCAGCAGUGAGGAAUAUUGGUCAAUGGGCGCGAGCCUGAACCAGCCAAGUAGCGUGAGGGAUGACGGCCCUACGGGUUGUAAACCUCUUUUGGCAGGGAAUAAAAGUCACCCACGUGUGGGUGUUUGUAUGUACCUGCAGAAUAAGGACCGGCUAAUUCCGUGCC
This 299-nucleotide ribosomal RNA is filed under the name uncultured bacterium. RNAcentral describes it as "partial 16S ribosomal RNA". It matches the Rfam family "Bacterial small subunit ribosomal RNA", at positions 216 to 509 of the family's 1533-position model. The record is from RNAcentral.